This 447-nucleotide ribosomal RNA is filed under the name uncultured bacterium. RNAcentral describes it as "bacterial SSU rRNA". It matches the Rfam family "Bacterial small subunit ribosomal RNA", at positions 355 to 825 of the family's 1533-position model. The record is from RNAcentral.
UGGGGAAUAUUGGACAAUGGGGGAAACCCUGAUCCAGCAAUGCCGCGUGUGUGAUGAAGGCCUUCGGGUUGUAAAGCACUUUUGUCAGGGACGAUGAUGACGGUACCUGACGAAUAAGCUCCGGCUAACUUCGUGCCAGCAGCCGCGGUAAUACGAGGGGAGCUAGCGUUGUUCGGAAUUACUGGGCGUAAAGGGCGUGUAGGCGGUACCAUAAGUCAGAUGUGAAAGCCCUAGGCUUAACCUAGGAGGUGCAUUUGAUACUGUGGAACUAGAGAUCGAGAGAGGAAAGUGGAAUUACGAGUGUAGAGGUGAAAUUCGUAGAUAUUCGUAAGAACACCAGUGGCGAAGGCGACUUUCUGGCUCGAUACUGACGCUAAGGCGCGAAAGCAUGGGGAGCAAACAGGAUUAGAUACCCCGGUAGUCCCUGAGCGGGCUGGCAAGGCGCAU